Molecule: ribosomal RNA, 253 nt
Filed under: uncultured bacterium
Lineage: Bacteria
Description: partial 16S ribosomal RNA
Rfam family: Bacterial small subunit ribosomal RNA
Source: RNAcentral
UACGUAGGGGGCAAGCGUUGUCCGGAUUUAUUGGGCGUAAAGAGCGUGUAGGCGGCCUGAAAGGUCAGCUGUGAAAACUCGAGGCUCAACCUCGAGACGUCGGUUGAAACCAUCUGGCUAGAGUCCGGAAGAGGAGUGUGGAAUUCCCGGUGUAGCGGUGAAAUGCGCAGAUAUCGGGAAGAACACCCGUGGCGAAGGCGGCUCACUGGUCCGGUACUGACGCUGAGGUGCGAAAGCGUGGGGAGCAAACAGG